CCUACGGGAGACUGCAGUGGGGGAUAUUGCACAAUGGGGGAAACCCUGAUGCAGCGACGCCGCGUGUGGGAAGACGGUCCUCUGGAUUGUAAACCACUGUCCCCAGGGACGAAGAUGACGGUACCUGGGGAGGAAGCUCCGGCAAACUACGUGCCAGCAGGCGCGGUAAUACGUAGGGAGCGAGCGUUGUCCGGAAUUAGUGGGUGUAAAGGGAGCGUAGGCGGGACUGCAAGUUGGAUGUCAAAUCUACCGGCUCAACCGGUAGCCGCACUCACAACGGCAGUUCUUGAGUGCAGGAGAGGCAGGCGGAAUUCCUAGUGUAGCGGUGAAAUGCGUAGAUAUUAGGAGGAACACCAGUGGCGAAGGCGGCCUGCUGGGCUUUUACUGACGCUGAGGCUCGAAAGUGUGGGGAGCAAACAGGAUUAGAUACCCGUGUAGUC
This 440-nucleotide ribosomal RNA is filed under the name uncultured bacterium. RNAcentral's name for it is "partial 16S ribosomal RNA". It matches the Rfam family "Bacterial small subunit ribosomal RNA", at positions 338 to 795 of the family's 1533-position model. The record is from RNAcentral.